Molecule: ribosomal RNA, 2798 nt
Filed under: Triticum aestivum (bread wheat)
Lineage: Eukaryota; Viridiplantae; Streptophyta; Magnoliopsida; Poales; Poaceae
Description: partial small subunit ribosomal RNA
Source: RNAcentral
UUUUUGCAUGGGCGUGUUGGGUGUUGGGUUGGAGGGUUAGGGUAGAGGUGGAGGUCGCGAGGAGGUGGGGGCGGCGGCGGCGGCGGCCGGGGACGGCGCGCGGCGGCUGGGGGAGGAACGCCGGUUGAGGCGGCCCCGCGAUGGGGAUGGGGUUCACGGGGUGGGGCGCCGGAAGGUGGCGGCUGCUGUGUGCUGCGGCGCGACAACGGCCGAGGGGGAGGGGACGAUGGUGCCACGACGGCCCUGAGGAGGGGCAACGAAGCUGGAGCCGCAACCAAGGGGGUUUGGGCGGCCAAAGCGGUGGCCGGUGUUGAAGGACCGCGUGAGGUGGUUGGCUGUCUGGUCAAGCGGGCGGAGGGUACCGAUUGUAGCGACGAUGGGGUCACAGCGAAGGGUGGGGUCCCCGAGUAGAGGAGGUGGACGCGCGGUGAGGGGCUGGAAGGGAAAAGCGCGGCAUACGAAGGAGGGCGAAGUGACGGACCGUACACGGUCCAGGUUAGACCUGCUUGUCCUGUUGUAUCGGUCGGUAUACGCGGGGAGGUUAGACUUGCCGAACGAGACGUACUACGGCGAACGAACGACACACACCCCAUAUAAAAACAACAUGAGAAUUAAACGACAACUACAGUAUACGAUGUCUAAGUACAAAAAAUACUCUAUGAACCUUAUGCAUUCUCAUGACUAUAUCAUCUUUGUUUCGUGCAUGUCAAUCGUUAUGUCUUCGGCGUCUUACAAAUUCCCCUCAACUUACAGUUUUUGGUGUUGGGACGAUGAGACUAUCAAAAGUCCGAGUGUAAAAUACCCUUUAAUAAGUCAAACAGUGAAACAAUACCCUAUAUUACAGAUUGUAUAGUAUUACAAAACCACCUUUGCCAUCAUCAAAGACUGGAGAAAGUCUCAAAUUUGAUAAAAGGACUACUGACUUACUUCAACUUUGAAACUGUUGCCUACAUCGUCCCAAUUGUCUUUUGUACUACGUGCUAACUUAAUUUGUACGUCCCAAGUUAUGCGUAGAGAUUAAUAAGAAUACAAAUAAUAAAAAUUAUUAGAUGGUGAAGACCGUAGGACAGCCACUCAGAAGAAAACCGGACGCUUGGUAUCAGUAACAUCGAAACGAGAUCAAACGGUUACAUAUCGACUUAUACUCGGUAGAUGAACGACCUUCACCAGUGUAUACCCCAUUGAAAAUCACCGUCCCACUUCGUUACCAUGACCGUAAACAUAAUGACUUUCAUGUCAUGUAUGAAACACAAUAAAACGUACGAGAGAUAUACAAGAGCAGAACCGUCCCCUACGAACCACUACUGAGGAAUUUACGAGACUCAUUAUUAACUCUUAUGUAUCUGUUACAGUUUAACUUCACACUAUAAACAUACAGUAUAAAUGAGGUGUUAUUGAAAAAUACACAAAAAGAGUAAGAAAAAUGUAUCUGCAUUACUAAAGAAAUACGGCGUUACAAUGAAUACAGUAAACCUAAACCUGUACGGCGUCACAAUGAAGCUAGAGACCUACCAACCACCGGUGGAAUUAAUCUUAGUAAUCCCCAUUACAUCAACGUUACGUCAUAGAUACACACCCGAUGGCCUACCUCAACGUUGUCGACACCAGUUUUCGGCCUACAAAACCUCUACGGUACAAACUAAUUAAUUAAUUAGUAGAAAACACCACGGUAAUCAAGACUAGGACUCGAUCCUCCUAAAUUAUAAGAAUUAGUACGAAAGUACGUUUAACUGGGUCAAGCAGGUAACUAACUAAUGACCUGAGGCUCAACGUAACGAAUAAAACCAUUCACUCUUGCAUACUGACAUUAAGACGUAUGUAGUAGUACGAUAAAGGAGGAUUAAAUAUAUACUUCUAAUUCACAGGGAAAAAUGGAUUUUAAAUGAACUUAUAAAUUGACUCUUAAUGAAGUAACACACAGUACGGAUAGAAUAAGGUAGGUGUACUAGAUACCUGGUGUCUAUAUCAAGAGUUAGGUUCCUCUCAGGCUUUUGAUUAUUAAACACGGAACUUAUUGCUUACAUUAAAAAAACAAGAUUAGAACUUUGAAACCGAUUACACUAUUAGGAAAAGCGGGAGUAGCUACCACCGGUAGAUAAACUAGUGUUGUGUACCAGUUAGGGUUCCUCUAGGUCUUUCGCCUCGUAACCCCGUGAGACUAAAAAUUCUUCGAGGUACGUGCAUAAUUCCGGUCAUUUAAGUUAAACAAAGAGUAGACGAAGAGAUACCAGACAACAGGAAUAAGCUAGACAAUAAGUCCAAGUUCUCAUAAAGUUACAACGAUUUCUUUCUAUGUUCCUAGUCACGGCAUUGUAACAACUUUCUGUUAGUCUGUGUCUGUGGUACGUCGUCGUGAAGUGGGACGUCAAGUACGAGACGAGUGGUACUGGACGGAGGAGUAGUAGUCUGUAUGAGUACACAUGAUCCUAGAGGAGUGGUAGUUUCAAGUACACAGGAGAUCUAGUUCGGAUACGUACACUCGACUUCUUAACAAACGGACAAGUGUUAACCACUAACUUCCCACCGGCCACUGAAGGUAUUAAAAGAACAUCAACAAACAACCUAUUAGAAAUUUUAAUCCUAACAUCUCUUGAAAUGUAAUGACAUUUUGAAGCAGAAGAACCACAACUACGAAUGUAUAAGGUAAUACGAUUGAGUCGUUGUGAAAAUCGUCUUUAACCAACAAAUACGUCUGUGCGCCACAUCAUUUUAACUUCUAAAUCGAGGGCGUAACGUAUGAAUACGAUACAACAUCAUUACAAGAUAGGUACUUAAUAUAUAUCGUCUGACAUACAAGU